This 750-nucleotide ribosomal RNA is filed under the name uncultured bacterium. RNAcentral's name for it is "bacterial SSU rRNA". It matches the Rfam family "Bacterial small subunit ribosomal RNA", at positions 9 to 750 of the family's 1533-position model. The record is from RNAcentral.
GAGUUUGAUCCUGGCUCACAACGAACGCUGGCGGCAGGCUUAACACAUGCAAGUCGAGCGCCCCGCAAGGGGAGCGGCGGACGGGUGAGUAACACGUGGGAACAUGCCUUUUGGUACGGAACAACUCAGGGAAACUUGAGCUAAUACCGUAUGUGCCCAGCCAUUUAAUGACCUCUCGGAACGAACAGUUUGUGCGAAACGAGAUGCCAUUAAAUGGCCGGGGAAAGAUUUAUCGCCAAAAGAGUGGCCCGCGUCCGAUUAGCUAGUUGGUGAGGUAACGGCCCACCAAGGCUCCGAUCGGUAGCUGGUUUGAGAGAACGACCAGCCACACUGGGACUGAGACACGGCCCAGACUACUACGGGAGGCAGCAGUGGGGAAUCUUGGACAAUGGGGGCAACCCUGAUCCAGCCAUGCCGCGUGAGUGAUGAAGGCCUUCGGGUUGUAAAACUCUUUCGACGGGGACGAUAAUGACGGUACCCGUAGAAGAAGCUCCGGCUAACUUCGUGCCAGCAGCCGCGGUAAUACGAAGGGGGCUAGCGUUGUUCGGAAUUACUGGGCGUAAAGCGCGCGCAGGCGGCUUCUCAAGUCGAGGGUGAAAGCCCAGAGCUCAACUCUGGAACUGCCUUCGAAACUGUGGAGCUUGAGUACGGGAGAGGUGAGUGGAAUUCCCAGUGUAGAGGUGAAAUUCGUAGAUAUUGGGAAGAACACCGGUGGCGAAGGCGGCUCACUGGCCCGUUACUGACGCUCAG